Molecule: ribosomal RNA, 497 nt
Filed under: uncultured bacterium
Lineage: Bacteria
Description: partial 16S ribosomal RNA
Rfam family: Bacterial small subunit ribosomal RNA
Source: RNAcentral
GAUGAACGCUGGCGGCGUGCCUAAUACAUGCAAGUAGAACGCUGAAGCUUGGUGCUUGCACCGAGCGGAUGAGUUGCGAACGGGUGAGUAACGCGUAGGUAACCUGCCUCUUAGCGGGGGAUAACUAUUGGAAACGAUAGCUAAUACCGCAUAAAAGUCGAUAUCGCAUGAUAUUGAUUUGAAAGGUGCAAAUGCAUCACUAAGAGAUGGACCUGCGUUGUAUUAGCUAGUUGGUGAGGUAACGGCUCACCAAGGCGACGAUACAUAGCCGACCUGAGAGGGUGGUAGGCCAGAAUGGGACGGAGACACGGCCCAGACUCCUACGGGAGGCAGCAGGAGGGAAUCGUGGGGAAUGGGGGGAACCGGGACCGAGGAACGCGGCGUGAGGGAAGAAGGUGUUCGGAUGGUAAAGCUCUGUUGUAAGAGAAGAACGAGGGUGAGAGUGGAAAGGGCACGCUGUGACGGUAACUUACCAGAAAGGGACGGCUAACUACGUG